Molecule: ribosomal RNA, 588 nt
Filed under: Brettanomyces naardenensis
Lineage: Eukaryota; Fungi; Ascomycota; Pichiomycetes; Pichiales; Pichiaceae
Description: eukaryotic LSU rRNA
Rfam family: Eukaryotic large subunit ribosomal RNA
Source: RNAcentral
GAGGAAAAGAAACCAACAGGGAUUGCCUUAGUAGCGGCGAGUGAAGCGGCAAAAGCUCAAAUUUGAAAUCUGGCGCCUUCGGUGUCCGAGUUGUAAUUUGAAGAUUGUAACCUUGGGGUUGGCUCUUGUCUAUGUUUCUUGGAACAGGACGUCACAGAGGGUGAGAAUCCCGUGCGAUGAGAUGCCCAAUCCUAUGUAAGGUGCUUUCGAAGAGUCGAGUUGUUUGGGAAUGCAGCUCUAAGUGGGUGGUAAAUUCCAUCUAAAGCUAAAUAUUGGCGAGAGACCGAUAGCGAACAAGUACAGUGAUGGAAAGAUGAAAAGAACUUUGAAAAGAGAGUGAAAAAGUACGUGAAAUUGUUGAAAGGGAAGGGUUUGAGAUCAGACUCGAUAUUUUGUGAGCCUUGCCUUCGUGGCGGGGUGACCCGCAGCUUAUCGGGCCAGCAUCGGUUUGGGCGGUAGGAUAAUGGCGUAGGAAUGUGACUUUACUUCGGUGAAGUGUUAUAGCCUGCGUUGAUGCUGCCUGCCUAGACCGAGGACUGCGAUUUUAUCAAGGAUGCUGGCAUAAUGAUCCCAAACCGCCCGUCUUGA